AUACGGAGGAUGCGAGCGUUAUCCGGAUUUAUUGGGUUUAAAGGGAGCGUAGGUGGGAUAUUAAGUCAGCUGUGAAAGUUUGGGGCUCAACCUUAAAAUUGCAGUUGAUACUGGUUUCCUUGAGUACGGUACAGGUGGGCGGAAUUCGUGGUGUAGCGGUGAAAUGCUUAGAUAUCACGAAGAACUCCGAUCGCGAAGGCAGCUCACCGGGCCGGAACUGACACUGAUGCUCGAAAGUGCGGGUAUCAAACAGGAUUAGAUACCCUGGUAGUCCGCACAGUAAACGAUGAAUACUCGCUGUUUGCGAUACACUGUAAGCGGCCAAGCGAAAGCGUUAAGUAUUCCACCUGGGGAGUACGCCGGCAACGGUGA
RNAcentral lists this ribosomal RNA (372 nucleotides) under uncultured bacterium. RNAcentral's name for it is "partial 16S ribosomal RNA". It matches the Rfam family "Bacterial small subunit ribosomal RNA", at positions 523 to 897 of the family's 1533-position model. The record is from RNAcentral.